RNAcentral lists this long non-coding RNA (201 nucleotides) under Selaginella moellendorffii. RNAcentral describes it as "long non-coding RNA (SMOE_LNC001956)". The record is from RNAcentral. Lineage: Eukaryota; Viridiplantae; Streptophyta; Lycopodiopsida; Selaginellales; Selaginellaceae.
CGGCAUUGCUUAAGUCAGGACCCUCUAAACUUUGUCGUUGAACUCAGCCAACUGCAAGCCCUUUGCCUUGAGUCUCCUGCACAUGUGCUCCUCCAUGCUGAUCUUGAGGAGUUGGUGAUCUUCCUAGGUGGCUUUUCCAUCCACAAGUCUGCUUCCGGAAGCUUAAACUCCUGGCUGAAGAGUUUGGCUGUGAGUCGAAAC